AUUGAACGCUGGCGGCAGGCUUAACACAUGCAAGUCGAGCGGGGGAAGGUAGCUUGCUACCGGACCUAGCGGCGGACGGGUGAGUAAUGCUUAGGAAUCUGCCUAUUAGUGGGGGACAACAUCUCGAAAGGGAUGCUAAUACCGCAUACGUCCUACGGGAGAAAGCAGGGGAUCUUCGGACCUUGCGCUAAUAGAUGAGCCUAAGUCGGAUUAGCUAGUUGGUGGGGUAAAGGCCUACCAAGGCGACGAUCUGUAGCGGGUCUGAGAGGAUGAUCCGCCACACUGGGACUGAGACACGGCCCAGGCUCCCACGGGAGGCAGCAGUGGGGAAUAUUGGACGAUGGGGGGAACCCUGAUCCAGCCAUGCCGCGUGUGUGAAGAAGGCCUUAUGGUUGUAAAGCACUUUAAGCGAGGAGGAGGCUACUUUAGUUAAUACCUAGAGAUAGUGGACGUUACUCGCAGAAUAAGCACCGGCUAACUCUGUGCCAGCCGCCGCCGUAA
This 501-nucleotide ribosomal RNA is filed under the name uncultured bacterium. Its description in RNAcentral is "partial 16S ribosomal RNA". It matches the Rfam family "Bacterial small subunit ribosomal RNA", at positions 30 to 523 of the family's 1533-position model. The record is from RNAcentral.